Molecule: ribosomal RNA, 253 nt
Filed under: uncultured bacterium
Lineage: Bacteria
Description: partial 16S ribosomal RNA
Rfam family: Bacterial small subunit ribosomal RNA
Source: RNAcentral
UACGGAGGGAGCUAGCGUUGUUCGGAAUUACUGGGCGUAAAGCGCACGUAGGCGGCUUUGUAAGUUAGAGGUGAAAGCCCAGGGCUUAACCCUGGAAUUGCCUUUAAGACUGCAUCGCUCGAAUUGUGGAGAGGUGAGUGGAAUUCCGAGUGUAGAGGUGAAAUUCGUAGAUAUUCGGAAGAACACCAGUGGCGAAGGCGACUCACUGGACACAUAUUGACGCUGAGGUGCGAAAGCGUGGGGAGCAAACAGG